CAGGAUUAGAUACCNUGGUAGUCCACGCCGUAAACGAUGAGUGCUAGGUGUUAGGCCCUUUCCGGGGCUUAGUGCCGGAGCUAACGCAAUAAGCACUCCGCCUGGGGAGUACGACCGCAAGGUUGAAACUCAAAGGAAUUGACGGGGGCCCGCACAAGCGGUGGAGCAUGUGGUUUAAUUCGAAGCAACGCGAAGAACCUUACCAGGUCUUGACAUCCCGAUGCUAUUCUUAGAGAUAGGAAGUUACUUCGGUACAUCGGAGACAGGUGGUGCAUGGUUGUCGUCAGCUCGUGUCGUGAGAUGUUGGGUUAANNNNNNCAACGAGCGCAACCCUUAUUGUUGGUUGCCAUCAUUAAGUUGGGCACUCUAGCGAGACUGCCGGUAAUAAACCGGAGGAAGGUGGGGAUGACGUCAAAUCAUCAUGCCCCUUAUGACCUGGGCUACACACGUGCUACAAUGGUCGGUACAACGAGUUGCGAGCCGGUGACGGCAAGCUAAUCUCUGAAAGCCGAUCUCAGUUCGGAUUGGAGGCAGCAACUCGCCUCCAUGAAGUCGGAAUCGCUAGUAAUCGCGGAUCAGCACGCCGCGGUGAAUACGUUCCCGGGCCUUGU
RNAcentral lists this ribosomal RNA (611 nucleotides) under uncultured bacterium. RNAcentral describes it as "bacterial SSU rRNA". It matches the Rfam family "Bacterial small subunit ribosomal RNA", at positions 773 to 1384 of the family's 1533-position model. The record is from RNAcentral.